AGUGAACGCUGGCGGCAGGCCUAACACAUGCAAGUCGAGCGGCAGCGGGUCCUUCGGGAUGCCGGCGAGCGGCGGACGGGUGAGGAAUACAUCGGAAUCUGCCCUGUCGUGGGGGAUAACCUAGGGAAACUUAGGCUAAUACCGCAUACGACCUACGGGUGAAAGCGGGGGAUCGCAAGACCUCGCGCGACAGGAUGAGCCGAUGUCCGAUUAGCUAGUUGGCGGGGUAAAGGCCCACCAAGGCGACGAUCGGUAGCUGGUCUGAGAGGAUGAUCAGCCACACUGGGACUGAGACACGGCCCAGACUCCUACGGGAGGCAGCAGUGGGGAAUAUUGGACAAUGGGCGCAAGCCUGAUCCAGCCAUGCCGCGUGGGUGAAGGAGGCCUUCGGGUUGUAAAGCCCUUUUGUCCGGGAAGAAAUCGUCUGGGCUAAUACCCCGGGCGGAUGACGGUACCGGAAGAAUAAGCACCGGCUAACUUCGUG
This 484-nucleotide ribosomal RNA is filed under the name uncultured bacterium. RNAcentral describes it as "partial 16S ribosomal RNA". It matches the Rfam family "Bacterial small subunit ribosomal RNA", at positions 30 to 507 of the family's 1533-position model. The record is from RNAcentral.